UAGCAUAUCAAUAAGCGGAGGAAAAGAAACCAACAGGGAUUACCUCAGUAACGGCGAGUGAAGCGGUAACAGCUCAAAUUUGAAAUCUGGCUCUUUUAGGGUCCGAGUUGUAAUUUGUAGAAGAUGCUUUGGGCGUGGCUCCGGUCUAAGUUCCUUGGAACAGGACGUCAUAGAGGGUGAGAAUCCCGUAUGUGACUGGUAGCUUUCGCCCGUGUAAAGCUCUUUCGACGAGUCGAGUUGUUUGGGAAUGCAGCUCAAAAUGGGUGGUAAAUUUCAUCUAAAGCUAAAUAUUGGCCAGAGACCGAUAGCGCACAAGUAGAGUGAUCGAAAGAUGAAAAGCACUUUGGAAAGAGAGUUAAACAGUACGUGAAAUUGUUGAAAGGGAAGCGCUUGCAACCAGACUCGCAGGCCGUCGAUCAUCCAGGGUUCUCCCCGGUGCACUCGGCGGUUUUCGGGCCAGCAUCGGUUUGGGUGGUGGGAUAAAGGCCUUGGGAAUGUAGCUUCUUUCGGGGAGUGUUAUAGCCCUCGGUGCAAUGCCGCCUACCCGGACCGAGGACCGCGCUUCGGCUAGGAUGCUGGCGUAAUGGUUGUAAGCGACCCGUCUUGAAACACGGACCAAGGAGUCUAACAUCUAUGCGAGUAUUUGGGUGUUAAACCCAUAUGCGUAAUGAAAGUGAACGGAGGUGAGAACCCUUAAGGGUGCAUCAUCGACCGAUCCUGAUGUCUUCGGAUGGAUUUGAGUAAGAGCAUAGCUGUUGGGACCCGAAAGAUGGUGAACUAUGCCUAAAUAGGGUGAAGCCAGAGGAAACUCUGGUGGAGGCUCGCAGCGGUUCUGACGUGCAAAUCGAUCGUCAAAUUUGGGUAUAGGGGCGAAAGACUAAUCGAACCAUCUAGUAGCUGGUUCUG
RNAcentral lists this ribosomal RNA (906 nucleotides) under Lachnellula willkommii. RNAcentral's name for it is "LSU rRNA". It matches the Rfam family "Eukaryotic large subunit ribosomal RNA", at positions 36 to 959 of the family's 3401-position model. Lineage: Eukaryota; Fungi; Ascomycota; Leotiomycetes; Helotiales; Lachnaceae. The record is from RNAcentral.